AGAUGUGAAUUGCAGAACUCCGUGAACCGACAGGAACUUGAAAGCAUAUUGUGCUUUUGGGAUAUCCCUGAAAGCAUGCCUGCUUCAGUGUC
Molecule: ribosomal RNA, 92 nt
Filed under: Gymnodinium baicalense
Lineage: Eukaryota; Dinophyceae; Gymnodiniales; Gymnodiniaceae
Description: Gymnodinium sp. NA-2008 partial 5.8S ribosomal RNA
Rfam family: 5.8S ribosomal RNA
About the family: 5.8S ribosomal RNA (5.8S rRNA) is a component of the large subunit of the eukaryotic ribosome. It is transcribed by RNA polymerase I as part of the 45S precursor that also contains 18S and 28S rRNA.
Source: RNAcentral